This 492-nucleotide ribosomal RNA is filed under the name uncultured bacterium. RNAcentral describes it as "partial 16S ribosomal RNA". It matches the Rfam family "Bacterial small subunit ribosomal RNA", at positions 29 to 507 of the family's 1533-position model. The record is from RNAcentral.
AGUGAACGCUGGCGGUAGGCCUAACACAUGCGAGUCGAACGGCAGCACAGUAAGAGCUUGCUCUUACGGGUGGCGAGUGGCGGACGGGUGAGGAAUACAUCGGAAUCUACUUUUUCGUGGGGGAUAACGUAGGGAAACUUACGCUAAUACCGCAUACGACCUACGGGUGAAAGCAGGGGAUCUUCGGACCUUGCGCGAUUGAAUGAGCCGAUGUCGGAUUAGCUAGUUGGCGGGGUAAAGGCCCACCAAGGCGACGAUCCGGAGCUGGUCUGAGAGGAUGAGCGGCCACACGGGAACUGAGACACGGUCAAGACUCCUACGGGAGGCAGCAGGAGGGAAUUUGCAGCAAUGGGCGAAAGCCUGACGGAGCAACGCCGCGUGAGUGAUGAAGGUCUUCGGAUCGUAAAACUCUGUUAUUAGGGAAGAACAUAUGUGUAAGUAACUGUGCACAUCGUGACGGUACCUAAGCAGAAAGACACGGCUAACUACGUG